RNAcentral lists this ribosomal RNA (374 nucleotides) under uncultured bacterium. RNAcentral's name for it is "bacterial SSU rRNA". It matches the Rfam family "Bacterial small subunit ribosomal RNA", at positions 28 to 404 of the family's 1533-position model. The record is from RNAcentral.
GACGAACGCUGGCGGCGUGCUUAACACAUGCAAGUCGAGCGGUAAGGCCCUUUCGGGGGUACACGAGCGGCGAACGGGUGAGUAACACGUGGGUGACCUGCCCUCAGCUCUGGGAUAAGCCCGGGAAACUGGGUCUAAUACCGGAUAUGACUCCAUGACGCAUGUUGUGGGGCGGAAAGCCUUGUGCGGCUGAGGAUGGGCCCGCGGCCUAUCAGCUUGUUGGUGGGGUGAUGGCCACCAAGGCGACGACGGGUAGCCGGCCUGAGAGGGCGACCGGCCACACUGGGACUGAGAUACGGCCCAGACUCCUACGGGAGGCAGCAGUGGGGAAUCUUGCGCAAUGGGCGAAAGCCUGACGCAGCGACGCCGCGUGA